AACGAACGCUGGCGGCAUGCCUAACACAUGCAAGUCGAACGAGAACUUCGGGGCUAGUGGCGCACGGGUGCGUAACGCGUGGGAAACUGCCCUUAGGUUCGGAAUAACUCCCCGAAAGGGGUGCUAAUACCGGAUAAUGUCUUCGGACCAAAGAUUUAUCGCCUUUGGAUGGGCCCGCGUUGGAUUAGCUAGUUGGUAGGGUAAAAGCCUACCAAGGCGACGAUCCAUAGCUGGUCUGAGAGGAUGAUCAGCCACACUGGGACUGAGACACGGCCCAGACUCCUACGGGAGGCAGCAGUGGGGAAUAUUGGACAAUGGGCGAAAGCCUGAUCCAGCAAUGCCGCGUGAGUGAUGAAGGCCUUAGGGUUGUAAAGCUCUUUUACCCGGGAUGAUAAUGACAGUACCGGGAGAAUAAGCUCCGGCUAACUCCGUG
This 433-nucleotide ribosomal RNA is filed under the name uncultured bacterium. Its description in RNAcentral is "partial 16S ribosomal RNA". It matches the Rfam family "Bacterial small subunit ribosomal RNA", at positions 29 to 507 of the family's 1533-position model. The record is from RNAcentral.